Molecule: ribosomal RNA, 253 nt
Filed under: uncultured bacterium
Lineage: Bacteria
Description: partial 16S ribosomal RNA
Rfam family: Bacterial small subunit ribosomal RNA
Source: RNAcentral
UACGUAGGGGGCUAGCGUUGUCCGGAAUCAUUGGGCGUAAAGCGCGCGUAGGCGGCCAGAUAAGUCCGGUGUGAAAGUCACAGGCUCAACCUGUGAAUGCCGCUGGAAACUGUCUGGCUUGAGUCCGGAAGGGGCGAGUGGAAUUCCUGGUGUAGCGGUGAAAUGCGCAGAUAUCAGGAGGAACACCAAUGGCGAAGGCAGCUCGCUGGAACGGUACUGACGCCGAGGCGCGAAAGCGUGGGGAGCGAACAGG